RNAcentral lists this ribosomal RNA (660 nucleotides) under uncultured euryarchaeote. Its description in RNAcentral is "bacterial SSU rRNA". It matches the Rfam family "Archaeal small subunit ribosomal RNA", at positions 163 to 825 of the family's 1478-position model. The record is from RNAcentral. Lineage: Archaea; Methanobacteriati; Methanobacteriota.
GUUAAUUCUGGAAAGUUUUAUCUCCAAAAGCUCCGGCGCCUAAGGAUAGGACGGCGGUGGAUUAGGUUGUUGGCGGGGUAACGGCCCACCAAGCCGAAGAUCCAUAGGGGCCUUGAGAGAGGGAGCCCCGAGAGGGACACUGAGAAACGGGUCCCAGCCCUACGGGGUGCAGCAGGCGCGGAACCUCUACAAUGCACGCAAGUGUGAUAGGGGGACCCCAAGUGCUCAUGUUUUACAUGGGCUUUUGCUAAGAGUAAAUAUCUUGGCGAAUAAGUGGUGGGUAAGACUGGUGCCAGCCGCCGCGGUAACACCAGCGCCACAAGUGGCGAUCAGCAUUAUUGGGCCUAAAGCGUCCGUAGCAGGUUGAGUAAAUCUCUUGUGAAAUCGUUGUGCUUAACAUAACGACGGGCAGGAGAGACUGCUCAACUUGGGACCGGGAGGGGUCGAGGGUAUUCCGGGGGGAGUGGUAAAAUGCAGUAAUCCUCGGAGGACCACCUGUGGCGAAGGCGCUCGACCAGAACGGAUCCGACUGUGAGGGACGAAAGCCAGGGGAGCGAAACGGAUUAGAUACCCGCGUAGUCCUGGCCGUAAACGCUGUGAGCUAGGUGUUGCGCAAACUCCGAGUUUGCGCAGUAUCGUAGAGAAGUCGUUAAGCUCACC